CCUACGGGUGGCAGCAGUGGGGAAUAUUGGACAAUGGGGGGAACCCUGAUCCAGCGACGCCGCGUGAGUGAAGAAGUAUUUCGGUAUGUAAAGCUCUAUCAGCAGGGAAGAAAGAAAUGACGGUACCUGACUAAGAAGCCCCGGCUAACUACGUGCCAGCAGCCGCGGGAAUACGUAGGGGGCAAGCGUUAUCCGGAUUUACGGGGUGUAAAGGGAGCGUAGACGGCGAUGCAAGUCUGAAGUGAAAGGCGGGGGCCCAACCCCCGGACUGCUGUGGAAACUGUAUGGCUGGAGUGGAGGAGAGGUAAGUGGAAUUCCUAGUGUAGCGGUGAAAUGCGUAGAUAUUAGGAGGAACACCAGUGGCGAAGGCGGCUUACUGGACUGUAACUGACGUUGAGGCUCGAAAGCGUGGGGAGCAAACAGGAUUAGAUACCCCUGUAGUC
Molecule: ribosomal RNA, 443 nt
Filed under: uncultured bacterium
Lineage: Bacteria
Description: partial 16S ribosomal RNA
Rfam family: Bacterial small subunit ribosomal RNA
Source: RNAcentral